AUUGAUGGCUAUAGCACAAUGAACAUAACCAAUAUAAACUGAUGUCUGAUCUCUAAAGCUAAUCCAGGUGGGGUCUGGUUAGUACUUGGAUGGGAUACUGCUUGGGAAUACUAGGUGUCACAGGC
Molecule: ribosomal RNA, 125 nt
Filed under: Dasypus novemcinctus (nine-banded armadillo)
Lineage: Eukaryota; Metazoa; Chordata; Mammalia; Cingulata; Dasypodidae
Source: RNAcentral